GAUGAACGCUGGCGGCGUGCCUAAUACAUGCAAGUCGAGCGAACAGACGAGGAGCUUGCUCCUCUGACGUUAGCGGCGGACGGGUGAGUAACACGUGGAUAACCUACCUAUAAGACUGGGAUAACUUCGGGAAACCGGAGCUAAUACCGGAUAAUAUAUUGAACCGCAUGGUUCAAUAGUGAAAGACGGUUUUGCUGUCACUUAUAGAUGGAUCCGCGCCGCAUUAGCUAGUUGGUAAGGUAACGGCUUACCAAGGCGACGAUGCGUAGCCGACCUGAGAGGGUGAUCGGCCACACUGGAACUGAGACACGGUCCAGACGCCUGCGGGAGGCAGCAGUAGGGAAUCUUCCGCAAUGGGCGAAAGCCUGACGGAGCAACGCCGCGUGAGUGAUGAAGGUCUUCGGAUCGUAAAACUCUGUUAUUAGGGAAGAACAAAUGUGUAAGUAACUAUGCACGUCUUGACGGUACCUAAUCAGAAAGCCACGGCUAACUACGUG
This 497-nucleotide ribosomal RNA is filed under the name uncultured bacterium. RNAcentral's name for it is "partial 16S ribosomal RNA". It matches the Rfam family "Bacterial small subunit ribosomal RNA", at positions 28 to 507 of the family's 1533-position model. The record is from RNAcentral.